Molecule: ribosomal RNA, 497 nt
Filed under: uncultured bacterium
Lineage: Bacteria
Description: partial 16S ribosomal RNA
Rfam family: Bacterial small subunit ribosomal RNA
Source: RNAcentral
GAUGAACGCUGGCGGCGUGCCUAAUACAUGCAAGUCGAGCGAACAGACGAGGAGCUUGCUCCUCUGACGUUAGCGGCGGACGGGUGAGUAACACGUGGAUAACCUACCUAUAAGACUGGGAUAACUUCGGGAAACCGGAGCUAAUACCGGAUAAUAUAUUGAACCGCAUGGUUCAAUAGUGAAAGACGGUUUUGCUGUCACUUAUAGAUGGAUCCGCGCCGCAUUAGCUAGUUGGUAAGGUAACGCCUUACCAAGGCAACGAUGCGUAGCCGACCUGAGAGGGUGAUCGGCCACACGGGAACUGAGACACGGUCAAGACUCCUACGGGAGGCAGCAGUAGGGAAUCUUCCGCAAUGGGCGAAAGCCUGACGGAGCAACGCCGCGUGAGUGAUGAAGGUCUUCGGAUCGUAAAACUCUGUUAUUAGGGAAGAACAAAUGUGUAAGUAACUAUGCACGUCUUGACGGUACCUAAUCAGAAAGCCACGGCUAACUACGUG